GCCUCUGUAGCUCAGUUGGUUAGAGCGCUGCACCGGAAUCGCAGGGCCGUAGGUUCAAUUCCUAUCAGAGGAC
This 73-nucleotide transfer RNA is filed under the name Paramuricea clavata. It matches the Rfam family "tRNA". From Rfam's summary of the family: Transfer RNA (tRNA) molecules are approximately 80 nucleotides in length. Their secondary structure includes four short double-helical elements and three loops (D, anti-codon, and T loops). Further hydrogen bonds mediate the characteristic L-shaped molecular structure. tRNAs have two regions of fundamental functional importance: the anti-codon, which is responsible for specific mRNA codon recognition, and the 3' end, to which the tRNAs corresponding amino acid is attached (by aminoacyl-tRNA synthetases). tRNAs cope with the degeneracy of the genetic code in two manners: having more than one tRNA (with a specific anti-codon) for a particular amino acid; and 'wobble' base-pairing, i.e. permitting non-standard base-pairing at the 3rd anti-codon position. Lineage: Eukaryota; Metazoa; Cnidaria; Anthozoa; Malacalcyonacea; Plexauridae. The record is from Rfam by way of RNAcentral.